Molecule: ribosomal RNA, 383 nt
Filed under: uncultured bacterium
Lineage: Bacteria
Description: bacterial SSU rRNA
Rfam family: Bacterial small subunit ribosomal RNA
Source: RNAcentral
GACGAACGCUGGCGGCGUGCUUAACACAUGCAAGUCGAACGAGGCCCCUUCUUCGGUUGGGGUUCUAGUGGCGAACGGGUGAGUAACACGUGGGCAACCUGCCCCUGGCUCUGGGAUAACUCCAAGAAAUUGGGGCUAAUACCGGAUAUGACCGCUGAUCGCAUGGUCUGGUGGUGGAAAGAUUUAUCGGCUGGGGGAUGGGGCCCGCGGCCUAUCAGCUUGGUUGGUGGGGGUAGUGGCCCACCAAGGCGACGACGGGUAGCCGGCCUGAGAGGGUGACCGGCCACACUGGGACUGAGACACGGCCCAGACUCCUACGGGAGGCAGCAGUGGGGAAUAUUGCGCAAUGGGCGAAAGCCUGACGCAGCGACGCCGCGUGGGGA